UCUUCGUCAUUCCCUCAUACAUAUUCCAGCGUCCACACUGGGGUUUCAGCGUGAUGUACCGGCGAGAGGUGACAGCGUCACUUCUUUGUGAACGAGCAAAGCAGCUACCUGGGAAACCAGAGUAAGAGUCGAGAAAUUGCUGUCCUUUGCAAAAGUGACAGUGACCACCAGGAUAGAUGCCCAGCGAAGGGCCCACGGCCAGUUGUCUGAGUUUCCUGGGGCUGCUGUGAGGAAGUGCCCAGACCAGGUGGCUGAAGCCACAGAACCGUGUGCUCUGGCAGCUGUGGAGGCCAGAAAUCCGAGAUGACGAUACCAGAGCCGUGGUUCCUCCUGAGGCUGUGAGGGAGCGUCCGUGCCGUGGCCCCCCGGCUUCCGGUGGCUUGCUGGCGAUCCUUGACGUUCAUUGGCUCCCGCUUCUUCCUGCCAUCUCUGCCUUCGUCUCAGCCUGGCAUUCCCUCUGUGCAAGUCUGUGUCCAAAUUUCCCUCUUUCGCAGGGACACCAAUAUUUGGGCAGGGUCCCACUCUACUCCACUAUGACCUCCCCUUCAUGCAUUAUGUCUGCAGUGACCCUAUUUCCAAGUUCCAUCACUUUCUGAAGCAUUGGAGGUUAGCAUUUCAACAUAGGAAUUGGGGAGGGACACAAUUCAGCUCAAAACACUCUGCCCCCUCCCCAAAUUCAUGUCCUUCUCAUAUGCAAAAUACGUUCACCCCAUCUUAUCAUCCCCAAGUGUUUCCAGAGAUGGCUGCACCGUGUCUCCCGUUCUACUGCAUUUUUGCAAUUUGACCUUGUCGUUUCCACAUUAUGAGGUAGACUCGUUUUCACCUCCUUUGAAUCCAGGCUGCUCCUGAGCUGUUGGAAUCCACAGAAUGUGGUGGGGAGGAUGCUAUGUAACUUCUGAGCAGGGCCCUGUGAGAUCUAGAGUUUCUGCACCCACCUCUUGGAAUGUCCUUUCCUGGGACCCAGUCUCCAUGUUGUGAAGCUCACGAUGCCACGUGGAGAAGCCUUCAUGGAAGACUUCACACAGCCUUGCUGAACUGAAGCCAGGGGUCCAGACUCAUUGCCAGCCGAGUGAGUGGGAACAUGCUGGAAACUUCAGCUAUCACAGCACUUUCUACAAUAGCCACCACAUAAAGCAGAAGCACUCUCUGGUCACACAAAGAAUUAUAACUUAUAAUAAAUGGUUGUUUAAGCUA
This is a long non-coding RNA of Hipposideros armiger (great roundleaf bat), 1194 nucleotides long. RefSeq lists it as uncharacterized. Lineage: Eukaryota; Metazoa; Chordata; Mammalia; Chiroptera; Hipposideridae. The record is from RefSeq and is a predicted model, not a curated record. The transcript has 2 exons.